GACGAACGCUGGCGGCGCGCCUAACACAUGCAAGUCGAACGGAGUCAAGAGGAGCUUGCUUUUCUUGACUUAGUGGCGAACGGGUGAGUAACGCGUGAGUAACCUGCCCUGGAGUGGGGGACAACAGUUGGAAACGACGGCUAAUACCGCAUAAGCCCACGGAUCCGCAUGGAUCUGCGGGAAAAGGAUUUAUUCGCUUCAGGAUGGACUCGCGUCCAAUUAGCUAGUUGGUGAGGUAACGGCCCACCAAGGCGACGAUUGGUAGCCGGACUGAGAGGUUGAACGGCCACAUUGGGACUGAGACACGGCCCAGACUCCUACGGGAGGCAGCAGUGGGGGAUAUUGCACAAUGGGGGAAACCCUGAUGCAGCGACGCCGCGUGGAGGAAGAAGGUUUUCGGAUUGUAAACUCCUGUCGUGAGGGACGAUAAUGACGGUACCUAACAAGAAAGCACCGGCUAACUACGUG
This 468-nucleotide ribosomal RNA is filed under the name uncultured bacterium. RNAcentral's name for it is "partial 16S ribosomal RNA". It matches the Rfam family "Bacterial small subunit ribosomal RNA", at positions 28 to 507 of the family's 1533-position model. The record is from RNAcentral.